RNAcentral lists this transfer RNA (90 nucleotides) under Caudoviricetes sp. RNAcentral describes it as "tRNA-Ser". It matches the Rfam family "tRNA". From Rfam's summary of the family: Transfer RNA (tRNA) molecules are approximately 80 nucleotides in length. Their secondary structure includes four short double-helical elements and three loops (D, anti-codon, and T loops). The record is from RNAcentral. Lineage: Duplodnaviria; Heunggongvirae; Uroviricota; Caudoviricetes.
GGAGAAGUACCCAAGAGGCUGAAGGGGUCGCNCUCGAAAUGCGAUAGGUCGUGAAAGCGGCGCGGGAGUUCAAAUCUCCUCUUCUCCUUA